This 495-nucleotide long non-coding RNA is filed under the name Parus major (Great Tit). RNAcentral's name for it is "lncRNA (ENSPMJG00000018072.1)". The record is from RNAcentral. Lineage: Eukaryota; Metazoa; Chordata; Aves; Passeriformes; Paridae.
GUGAUGGCUGCUGCCUCUGAGGAGAAACUGCUUCCAAGUAAGGCAGAAAUUGUGGUCUGGAAGCCCAGAAAAGAAUGUUUGCAGCAGAAUAUUCCAAAUGUUCCUGAUGGCAAGUCUGAGGAGAGUGAAUCUGCUUCUACCUCUCCCACUGAAGGUGAUGUUAGUGGCUCUACUGAUGAGGGCUGGUACAAUAUAUAUGCUGACCUGGAUGUGUGGGAUAAUGAAGUUUCUAGUAUACCUGAGUCUUCAGGGCAGCAAGAUGCAUCUGAGCAUGAGGUGGAAGACUGGGAUAGAGAACUGGAAGAGUUCUCACGUGGUCCUUAUGAUGCUGACGAUCUCUCCUGUGGAAGCUUUGAGGAAAAUAAUCUUUCCAGCUCGUAUGUAUGGAAGGAGGAUUGGUUUUACAACCCAGGCUGUCACCAUGCGCCUUGCUUUAUUUUUCCACCACGAGUUAGAACAGUUGAGAAGGGCCAGUUUGAUGAUGCUGAUGAAUGA